CCUACGGGUGGCAGCAGUAGGGAAUCUUCCACAAUGGGCGAAAGCCUGAUGGAGCAACGCCGCGUGGGUGAAGAAGGUCUUCGGAACGUAAAACCCUGUUGUUAGAGAAGAAAGUGCGUGAGAGUAACUGUUCACGUUUCGACGGUAUCUAACCAGAAAGCCACGGCUAACUACGUGCCAGCAGCCGCGGUAAUACGUAGGUGACAAGCGUUAUCCGGAUUUGUUGGGCGAAAGGGGAACGCAGGCGGUCUUUUAAGUCUGAUGUGAAAGCCGGCGGCUCAACCGGAGUAGUGCAUUGGAAACUGGGAGACUUGAGUGCAGGAGAGGAGAGUGGAACUCCUAGUGUAGCGGUGAAAUGCGUAGAUAUAAGGAGGAACACCAGUGGCGAAAGCGGCUUACUGGACUGUAACUGACGUUGAGGCUCGAAAGCGUGGGUAGCAAACAGGAUUAGAUACCCGGGUAGUC
RNAcentral lists this ribosomal RNA (465 nucleotides) under uncultured bacterium. Its description in RNAcentral is "partial 16S ribosomal RNA". It matches the Rfam family "Bacterial small subunit ribosomal RNA", at positions 338 to 795 of the family's 1533-position model. The record is from RNAcentral.